Molecule: transfer RNA, 73 nt
Filed under: Nyctereutes procyonoides (raccoon dog)
Lineage: Eukaryota; Metazoa; Chordata; Mammalia; Carnivora; Canidae
Also listed under: 1 other name
Rfam family: tRNA
About the family: Transfer RNA (tRNA) molecules are approximately 80 nucleotides in length.
Source: Rfam by way of RNAcentral
UCCUGGGUGGCUCAGUAGGUAGAGCACGUGAUUCUUAAUCUUGGGGUUGUGAGUUAAAGACUCACUUUGAGCA